AGCCUCAAGAGCUGAUCUGGUUCAUCCUUGGUGGGUUUAGCUCAGCUUUGGUUGAUCCCUGUUUGAGUCCAUCCCAGUUUUGUUGGGUUUAUCCCUGGUUUUGGUUAAUCCCAGGUUUUGGUUAAUCCCAGGUUGUGGUUUAUCCCUGGUUUUGGUUAAUCCCAGUUUUGUUGGAUUUCUCCCUGGUUUUGGUUAAUCCCAGUUUUUUUUUAUUUCUCCCUGGUUUUGGUUAAUCCCUGGCUCUCCUGGGUUUUCCCUUUAGGGUUUUGGUUAAUCCCAGUUUUGUUGGAUUUCUCCCUGGUUUUGGCCCAUCCCAGUUUUGUUGGAUUUUUGCCUCCUUGGCUCCGUCCCGCCGGAUUUUUCCCGGUUUCCGCGCGCCGGCCCC
This 385-nucleotide long non-coding RNA is filed under the name Lonchura striata (white-rumped munia). Its description in RNAcentral is "domestica (Bengalese finch) lncRNA (ENSLSDG00000003206.1)". Lineage: Eukaryota; Metazoa; Chordata; Aves; Passeriformes; Estrildidae. The record is from RNAcentral.